This 986-nucleotide ribosomal RNA is filed under the name uncultured bacterium. Its description in RNAcentral is "bacterial SSU rRNA". It matches the Rfam family "Bacterial small subunit ribosomal RNA", at positions 8 to 1015 of the family's 1533-position model. The record is from RNAcentral.
AGAGUUUGAUCCUGGCUCAGAAUCAACGCUGGCGGCGUGCCUAACACAUGCAAGUCGAGCGCGAAGCCCCCGCAAGGGGGCCAAGAGCGGCGCACGGGUGAGUAACACGUGGACAACCUACCUCCUAGUGGGGAAUAACCUCGCGAAAGCGAAGCUAAUACCGCAUAAGUUUCUCCGGGCGCAUGCCCGGGGAAGGAAAGCAGCAAUGCGCCGGGAGAGGGGUCCGCGGCCGAUUAGUUAGUUGGCGGGGUAACGGCCCACCAAGACCAUGAUCGGUAUCCGGCCUGAGAGGGCGCACGGACACACUGGAACUGAAACACGGUCCAGACUCCUACGGGAGGCAGCAGUGGGGAAUUUUGCGCAAUGGGGGAAACCCUGACGCAGCAACGCCGCGUGGAGGAUGAAGGGCUUCGGCUCGUAAACUCCUUUCGAUCGGGACGAGUAGAAGACGGUACCGGAAGAAGAAGCCCCGGCUAACUACGUGCCAGCAGCCGCGGUAAUACGUAGGGGGCGAGCGUUGUUCGGAAUUAUUGGGCGUAAAGCGCGUGUAGGCGGUUCGGUAAGGCGGGUGUGAAAUCCCCAGGCUCAACCUGGGAUCUGCAUCCGCGACUGCCGGGCUGGAGUGCGAGAGGGGAGAGCGGAAUUCCUGGUGUAGCGGUGAAAUGCGUAGAUAUCAGGAGGAACACCGGUGGCGAAGGCGGCUCUCUGGAUCGUGACUGACGCUGAGACGCGAAAGCUAGGGGAGCAAACAGGAUUAGAUACCCUGGUAGUCCUAGCUGUAAACGAUGGAUGCUAGGUGUGGGCGGUUCAUUCCGUCCGUGCCGACGCUAACGCAGUAAGCAUCCCGCCUGGGGAGUACGGUCGCAAGGCUGAACUCAAAGGAUUGACGGGGCCCGCACAGCGGUGGAGCAUGUGGUUUAAUUCGACGCAACGCGAAGAACCUUACCUGGCUCGAAUGCCGGUGACCGGGGUGGAAACAUCCAUUC